UAAGAAAACGGCGAAAGCUUGUUCGAAUUUGCGACAUGAAUUGUAAGACUGUGUGUGAAUUGGGUGUGCAGUUGUCGUAUGUUUUCGAAAGGGAAUCCGGUUGAUAUUCCGGAACCGAGUAACGGAGACAAAGAGUAGCGCUUUAAUCUCUCUGUGGGGUU
RNAcentral lists this ribosomal RNA (161 nucleotides) under Trichinella patagoniensis. RNAcentral describes it as "partial large subunit ribosomal RNA". The record is from RNAcentral. Lineage: Eukaryota; Metazoa; Nematoda; Enoplea; Trichinellida; Trichinellidae.